RNAcentral lists this transfer RNA (88 nucleotides) under Deltaproteobacteria bacterium. Its description in RNAcentral is "tRNA-Ser". It matches the Rfam family "tRNA". Rfam says of the family: Transfer RNA (tRNA) molecules are approximately 80 nucleotides in length. Their secondary structure includes four short double-helical elements and three loops (D, anti-codon, and T loops). The record is from RNAcentral. RNAcentral also lists the same sequence under 1 other name. Lineage: Bacteria; Pseudomonadati; Myxococcota; Myxococcia.
GGAGAGAUGGCCGAGCGGUUGAAGGCACCGGUCUUGAAAACCGGCAGGGUGAAAGCCCUCGUGGGUUCGAAUCCCACUCUCUCCGCCA